GCCCCUAUAGCUCAGUUGGUAGAGCAACUGAUUUGUAAUCAGUAGGUCCGCGGUUCGAGUCCGUGUGGGGGCACCA
This 76-nucleotide transfer RNA is filed under the name Ahrensia kielensis. RNAcentral's name for it is "tRNA-Thr". It matches the Rfam family "tRNA". Rfam says of the family: Transfer RNA (tRNA) molecules are approximately 80 nucleotides in length. Their secondary structure includes four short double-helical elements and three loops (D, anti-codon, and T loops). Further hydrogen bonds mediate the characteristic L-shaped molecular structure. tRNAs have two regions of fundamental functional importance: the anti-codon, which is responsible for specific mRNA codon recognition, and the 3' end, to which the tRNAs corresponding amino acid is attached (by aminoacyl-tRNA synthetases). tRNAs cope with the degeneracy of the genetic code in two manners: having more than one tRNA (with a specific anti-codon) for a particular amino acid; and 'wobble' base-pairing, i.e. permitting non-standard base-pairing at the 3rd anti-codon position. RNAcentral also lists the same sequence under 19 other names. The record is from RNAcentral. Lineage: Bacteria; Pseudomonadati; Pseudomonadota; Alphaproteobacteria; Hyphomicrobiales; Ahrensiaceae.